ACGCUGGCGGCGUGCCUAAUACAUGCAAGUAGAACGCUGAAGGAGGAGCUUGCUUCUCCGGAUGAGUUGCGAACGGGUGAGUAACGCGUAGGUAACCUGCCUGGUAGCGGGGGAUAACUAUUGGAAACGAUAGCUAAUACCGCAUAAAAGUAGAUGUUGCAUGACAUUUGCUUAAAAGGUGCAAUUGCAUCACUACCAGAUGGACCUGCGUUGUAUUAGCUAGUUGGUGGGGUAACGGCUCACCAAGGCGACGAUACAUAGCCGACCUGAGAGGGUGAUCGGCCACACUGGGACUGAAACACGGCCCAGACUCCUACGGGAGGCAGCAGUAGGGAAUCUUCGGCAAUGGACGGAAGUCUGACCGAACAACGCCGCGUGAGUGAAGAAGGUUUUCGGAUCGUAAAGCUCUGUUGUAAGAGAAGAACGAGUGUGAGAGUGGAAAGUUCACACUGUGACGGUAUCUUACCAGAAAGGGACGGCUAACUACGUGCCAGCAGCCGCGGUAAUACGUACGUCCCGAGCGUUGUCCGGAUUUAUUGGGCGUAAAGCGAGCGCACGCGGUUAGAUAAGUCUGAAGUAAAAGGCUGUGGCUUGACCAUACUACGCUUUGGAAACUGUUUAACUUGAGUGCAAGAGGGGAGAGUGGAAUUCCAUGUGUAGCGGUGAAAUGCGUAGAUAUAUGGAGGAACACCGGUGGCGAAAGCAGCUCUCUGGCUUGUAACUGACGCUGAGGCUCGAAAGCGUGGGGAGCAAACAAGAUUAGAUACCCUGGUAGUCCACGCCGUAAACGAUGAGUGCUAGGUGUUAGACCCUUUCCGGGGUUUAGUGCCGCAGCUAACGCAUUAAGCACUCCGCCUGGGGAGUACGACCGCAAGGUUGAACUCAAAGGAAUUGACGGGGGCCCGCAC
Molecule: ribosomal RNA, 908 nt
Filed under: uncultured bacterium
Lineage: Bacteria
Description: bacterial SSU rRNA
Rfam family: Bacterial small subunit ribosomal RNA
Source: RNAcentral